UACGGAGGGGGCGAGCGUUGUCCGAAUUUAUUGGGCGUAAAGCGCGUGUAGGCGGAUGGACAAGCCUGAGGUGAAAGGUUGGGGCUCAACCCCAUACAGUGCCUUGGGGACUGUUCGUCUGGAGGCCGGCAGAGGAGAGUGGAAUUCCUGGUGUAGCGGUGGAAUGCGUAGAGAUCAGGAAGAACACCCAUGGCGAAGGCAGCUCUCUGGGCCGGUACUGACGCUGAGACGCGAAAGCGCGGGGAGCGAACGGG
Molecule: ribosomal RNA, 254 nt
Filed under: uncultured bacterium
Lineage: Bacteria
Description: partial 16S ribosomal RNA
Rfam family: Bacterial small subunit ribosomal RNA
Source: RNAcentral